Molecule: ribosomal RNA, 468 nt
Filed under: uncultured bacterium
Lineage: Bacteria
Description: partial 16S ribosomal RNA
Rfam family: Bacterial small subunit ribosomal RNA
Source: RNAcentral
GACGAACGCUGGCGGCGUGCUUAACACAUGCAAGUCGAACGGAAAGGCCCUGCUUUUGUGGGGUGCUCGAAUGGCGAACGGGUGAGUAACACGUGAGUAACCUGCCCUUGACUUUGGGAUAACUUCAGGAAACUGGGGCUAAUACCGGAUAGGAGCUCCUGCUGCAUGGUGGGGGUUGGAAAGUUUCGGCGGUUGGGGAUGGACUCGCGGCUUAUCAGCUUGUUGGUGGGGUAGUGGCUUACCAAGGCUUUUACGGGUAGCCGGCCUGAGAGGGUGACCGGCCACAUUGGGACUGAGAUACGGCCCAGACUCCUACGGGAGGCAGCAGUGGGGAAUAUUGCACAAUGGGCGGAAGCCUGAUGCAGCAACGCCGCGUGCGGGAUGACGGCCUUCGGGUUGUAAACCGCUUUCGCCUGUGACGAAGCGUGAGUGACGGUAAUGGGUAAAGAAGCACCGGCUAACUACGUG